UACGUAGGGGGCUAGCGUUGUCCGGAAUCAUUGGGCGUAAAGAGCGUGUAGGCGGUCCGGUAAGUCCGCUGUGAAAGUCGGGGGCUCAACCCUCGAAUGCCGGUGGAUACUGUCGGGCUAGAGUGCGGAAGAGGCGAGUGGAAUUCCUGGUGUAGCGGUGAAAUGCGCAGAUAUCAGGAGGAACACCCGUGGCGAAGGCGGCUCUCUGGAACGCAACUGACGCUGAGACGCGAAAGCGUGGGGAGCAAACAGG
RNAcentral lists this ribosomal RNA (253 nucleotides) under uncultured bacterium. RNAcentral describes it as "partial 16S ribosomal RNA". It matches the Rfam family "Bacterial small subunit ribosomal RNA", at positions 524 to 776 of the family's 1533-position model. The record is from RNAcentral.